CCUACGGGAGGCAGCAGUGAGGAAUAUUGGACAAUGGGCGCAAGCCUGAUCCGGCCAUGCCGCGUGCAGGAUGACGGUCCUAUGGAUUGUAAACUGUUUUUAUACGAGAAGAAACACCCCUACGUGUAGGGACUUGACGGUAUCGUAAGAAUAAGGAUCGGCUAACUCCGUGCCAGCAGCCGCGGUAAUACGGAGGAUCCAAGCGUUAUCCGGAAUCAUUGGGUUUAAAGGGUCCGUAGGCGGUUUAGUAAGUCAGUGGUGAAAUCUCCCCGCUCAACGGGGAAACGGCCAUUGAUACUGCUAGACUUGAAUUAUUAGGAAGUAACUAGAAUAUGUAGUGUAGCGGUGAAAUGCUUAGAGAUUACAUGGAAUACCAAUUGCGAAGGCAGGUUACUACUAAUGGAUUGACGCUGAUGGACGAAAGCGUGGGUAGCGAACAGGAUUAGAUACCCUGGUAGUCCACGCCGUAAACGAUGGAUACUAGCUGUUGGGUGCAAACUCAGUGGCUAAGCGAAAGUGAUAAGUAUCCCACCUGGGGAGUACGUUCGCAAGAAUGAAACUCAAAUUGAAUUGACGGCUGNGAGNGCGAGAGACACGAGGAGAG
RNAcentral lists this ribosomal RNA (604 nucleotides) under uncultured bacterium. RNAcentral describes it as "bacterial SSU rRNA". It matches the Rfam family "Bacterial small subunit ribosomal RNA", at positions 338 to 943 of the family's 1533-position model. The record is from RNAcentral.